RNAcentral lists this transfer RNA (68 nucleotides) under Agrypninae sp. GTI-132. RNAcentral describes it as "tRNA-Trp". Lineage: Eukaryota; Metazoa; Arthropoda; Insecta; Coleoptera; Elateridae. The record is from RNAcentral.
AAGGAUUUAAGUUAAACAAACUAGUAGCCUUCAAAGCUACCAAUAAAGACUUUCUCCUUUAAGCCUUA